This is a microRNA precursor of Equus caballus (horse), 139 nucleotides long. The record is from Ensembl. NCBI's taxonomy places the organism in Eukaryota, Metazoa, Chordata, Mammalia, Perissodactyla, Equidae.
GGGGCUAAAAUCAUCGUCAGCUGGCUCCUUCUGUGGCAUUGGCUUCAGCCUGCUGACAUGGUGCUGUCGUAUAGCUGUGAGCACGCUGAUGUCUGCUGCAGAGGCCUGCCCAGACCUCCUGACUGAAAUCGUCCCUGUC